This is a long non-coding RNA of Myiozetetes cayanensis, 1488 nucleotides long. RefSeq lists it as uncharacterized. The transcript has 4 exons. NCBI's taxonomy places the organism in Eukaryota, Metazoa, Chordata, Aves, Passeriformes, Tyrannidae. The record is from RefSeq and is a predicted model, not a curated record.
GAGUGGGAUUUUAUGACAUUUCAGGGUUCCCUUAUGUGAUCGCAGCGAUGGAUCGCGCCCACAUCAUCCUUCACAUCCCUGCACUGAAUGAUGCUGCCUUCCCCCUUUGGAAAUGGCUCCAGUCUUUGACUCCAUGAAUAUUAGAGCAAUGUGAACUGCCCAUGUGCACCCACGAAGGACCUUCAGCUCCAUCAGCAGCAGGAAUUUCCAUUUGAACACAACACUUAAGCACAAAAUAUGAAGUUCCCUCAUCAGCUGAAGCUUUCACCGGAGGAUCCCAAAUUCCUUUGCUGACAGGAUUGCAUCAGAAAUGUUUUUAGUAAAAUGUACAGAAUGUGUGGAGCAAAAAACAUGUAUUGGUGGCAGAAUUCUGGGUGUAAAAAGAAAAUCACUGGUAUUUCACUUUUGCAGAAGCUCUUCGUGGGAGAAAGGCAGAAAGAAUCUGUCCCAUAAAGAACAACACAACAGUUUCCAAGCUGAACUCUCUAACAUAUACAACCAUUUCUGCUUUUGCAGAUACAGACCCAUCAGCCCUGUGAGAAGAUGAGUGAGUUUACUAUGUUGGAGAGAUCAACAGUAGAUUUAGUGGAGAAAGUAAAGCCUUUGGGCAGAUGAAAAAAAGUCUAAAAAAUCUAGUUUCCAAGCAGAAAACUUGACUAGUGAUGCAGAGAGCGUGGCAGGAGCUAAAAACUGGUUUUGUGCAGAGACAAUGCCUCAGUGUCAAACACAACACAUGAAAAUAGGAACACUACAUAUUUUUGAGAGAUGGUUUCAAUAUUUGAUCUGGUUUUUAUUGCCAUAGAACAGAAAUAAAUCAUUUUGUUCUGUAGCCCUGAGGGAGUGCACUGAGUCCUGCUUCUUGCCUCAUGCACAGCCCUACAGGUCAGGGUGUGGGUGAGGGAGGUGAGCACUGAGCACCCUCCACAGUGGGCAGACUGCUGAGAGGCUUCCUCUCCAUUCCUGUUUACAGUUUCUUCCCUCACUUUGGGAUAACCUCCCCAGAUAUUGUUUAAAGCCCUCCAUGACAGUCCUCCAACUGCCUUUAUAGGCCAUGCAGCUGUUUGUCCCCACAUCUCAGGUGCUGAACCAUAGUGAGAAGUCCCCACCCUGCGCUACCUCAGGCCCAAACUUAAAUCAUUUUCUUCCUUAACUAGGUCUUAGGCUGAAAGGUGAGGGUUCACAGAGAAAACAGCUGUGAUUUCAAACAGCCUGCCACACGUGUGGUGAGAAUGGCUUACCAGCCUCACCAGUCUACCUUGCAGGUUCUCUUUUAUGGUCUGUAGCUCGAGGUCCUGAGGCAUCCUCAGAAAGCCACAGGCAGAAACCACACAAAGAGAUUAAAGAUGUGAUAGGGAGAGGCAGGAGGAAACGCUCCUGCUCAUUUUCUAGUGUGUGUUCUUCUGAAGAUACACCCAGAAGGACCUCCAUGAGUUUCCAGAAGGACCUUUAGAAGUUUCUGUCUGUUUUCCAAAGGAAAAAAAAAACAAA